RNAcentral lists this unclassified non-coding RNA (217 nucleotides) under plant metagenome. RNAcentral describes it as "partial contains small subunit ribosomal RNA, internal transcribed spacer 1, and 5.8S ribosomal RNA". The record is from RNAcentral.
UCUCCGUAGGUGAACCUGCGGAGGGAUCAUUACAAGUGACCCCGGUCUUACCACCGGGAUGUUCAUAACCCUUUGUUGUCCGACUCUGUUGCCUCCGGGGCGACCCUGCCUUCGGGCGGGGGCUCCGGGUGGACACUUCAAACCCUUGCGUAACUUUGCAGUCUGAGUAAACUUAAUUAAUAAAUUAAAACUUUUAACAACGGAUCUCUUGGUUCUG